RNAcentral lists this long non-coding RNA (1122 nucleotides) under Podarcis muralis (Common wall lizard). RNAcentral's name for it is "lncRNA (ENSPMRG00000004228.1)". The record is from RNAcentral. Lineage: Eukaryota; Metazoa; Chordata; Lepidosauria; Squamata; Lacertidae.
CCGCAACCCCAUAGUUGGUCAUGACUGGACCUAAUGGUCAGGGGUCCCUUUACCUUUACCUAGUCAUGUCUGACUCUUCGUGACCCCAUGGACCAGAGCACGCCAGGCACUCCUGUCUUCCACUGCCUCCCGCAGUUUGGUCAAACUCAUGUUGGUAGCUUUGAGAACACUGUCCAACUUAAUACCCUCCAACAUUUCUCCAAUGUGGCACAAAGGGCAGGAGAAUAUGAUGAAAAGGUACAUGUAAUCUGGGACAUGGGGGAAGUUUAUCAAAUGCAUGAUAGACAAAGCAGAUUGACUUUUCUGUCCAGAGCACUAGAACUCUGGGUAUCCCAAUGGAUUUUACUGGGAGUGGAUUCGAGACAGACCAACGUACUGCUCACAAAGCAGUGUGGAAUUUAUGUAGAUUUAUCACCAGGGUUCAUCUAGUCCAACCCCCUGAAAUACUGGGAUCUUUAAUCCAAUGUGGGGCUCAAACCCACAACCCUGAGAUUAAAAGUCUCGUGCUCUACCAACUCAGCUAUUCUAGCAGUAGAUCACUGCCGCUGUCUUAGAUAGAUCUGUUUCGUUUUUUAAAAGAAAAUGUAUGGAGGACAGCUAAGCUACUUAGCCAUGCUGAUAAAGUGGAAUCUCCACAUUUCAGGCAGCGUCAACCCCAACACCAGUUUGUGGGUCAUGUUGGUUUGAGAAUUUCCUAGAAGCACCUUGGCUGGCAACUCUUGGAAAUGGGUUGCUUGGCUAUGCAUGGAGCCUUGGUUUCUAGUCUCAUUGAAAUAUACUCAGAGUCGAGAGUGGAUUUCAUGCUCUUUAUUCAGCUCAUAGUGGUUUGGAGGAAUGAAAGUUUCCCCAAAAUAUCUGCUUUAUAUACAUUAUUUACACAAUGGGCUGCACGUGAUUGGCUAAUUCCGGGAUUCUCCUGUAGGCCAGUCAGGUUGCGGAUUCACUUCCACCUGAAGCUGGAUUGGGUGGCUCCUGUGGACCAAUCAUACUGCUGCAUUGUUCUCAAUUGCUGUAAUGUAUCUGCAAGGGGAUUUUCUGUACAGUGUGCCCAUGAUUCAAUGCAUAGAGAAUCCUGUUUGGGGGGCGGGGGGUAGGACUAUGACCUUCAGAUUCCCCUAUCUC